Molecule: ribosomal RNA, 447 nt
Filed under: uncultured organism
Description: partial 16S ribosomal RNA
Rfam family: Bacterial small subunit ribosomal RNA
Source: RNAcentral
CACUCCUACGGGAGGCAGCAGUGGGGAAUAUUGGACAAUGGGCGCAAGCCUGAUCCAGCCAUGCCGCGUGAGUGAUGAAGGCCCUAGGGUUGUAAAGCUCUUUCACCGGUGAAGAUAAUGACUGUAACCGGAGAAGAAGCCCCGGCUAACUUCGUGCCAGCAGCCGCGGUAAUACGAAGGGGGCUAGCGUUGUUCGGAUUUACUGGGCGUAAAGCGCACGUAGGCGGACUAUUAAGUCAGGGGUGAAAUCCCGGGGCUCAACCCCGGAACUGCCUUUGAUACUGGUAGUCUUGAGUUCGAGAGAGGUGAGUGGAAUUCCGAGUGUAGAGGUGAAAUUCGUAGAUAUUCGGAGGAACACCAGUGGCGAAGGCGGCUCACUGGCUCGAUACUGACGCUGAGGUGCGAAAGCGUGGGGAGCAAACAGGAUUAGAAACCCCGGUAGUCCCA